GGAGCUUGCUCCCGGAUGUUAGCGGCGGACGGGUGAGUAACACGUGGGUAACCUGCCUGUAAGACUGGGAUAACUCCGGGAAACCGGAGCUAAUACCGGAUAGUUCCUUGAACCGCAUGGUUCAAGGAUGAAAGACGGUUUCGGCUGUCACUUACAGAUGGACCCGCGGCGCAUUAGCUAGUUGGUGGGGUAAUGGCUCACCAAGGCGACGAUGCGUAGCCGACCUGAGAGGGUGAUCGGCCACACUGGGACUGAGACACGGCCCAGACUCCUACGGGAGGCAGCAGUAGGGAAUCUUCCGCAAUGGACGAAAGUCUGACGGAGCAACGCCGCGUGAGUGAUGAAGGUUUUCGGAUCGUAAAGCUCUGUUGUUAGGGAAGAACAAGUGCGAGAGUAACUGCUCGCACCUUGACGGUACCUAACCAGAAAGCCACGGCUAACUACGUGCCAGCAGCCGCGGUAAUACGUAGGUGGCAAGCGUUGUCCGGAAUUAUUGGGCGUAAAGGGCUCGCAGGCGGUUUCUUAAGUCUGAUGUGAAAGCCCCCGGCUCAACCGGGGAGGGUCAUUGGAAACUGGGAAACUUGAGUGCAGAAGAGGAGAGUGGAAUUCCACGUGUAGCGGUGAAAUGCGUAGAGAUGUGGAGGAACACCAGUGGCGAA
RNAcentral lists this ribosomal RNA (659 nucleotides) under unidentified microorganism. RNAcentral describes it as "bacterial SSU rRNA". It matches the Rfam family "Bacterial small subunit ribosomal RNA", at positions 75 to 719 of the family's 1533-position model. The record is from RNAcentral.